GUUUGUACCACCACCCGCCAUGAAACAACUGCGAGGACUGGGUUUGGGCCCCCCCCCCCCACCAGGUGUAGCCGGGCUGAGAGGUUGAACGGCCACAUUGGGACUGAGACACGGCCCAAACUCCUACGGGAGGCAGCAGUAGGGAAUUUUCGGCAAUGGAGGAAACUCUGACCGAGCAACGCCGCGUGAACGAUGAAGUAUUUCGGUACGUAAAGUUCUUUUAUUAGGGAAGAAUAAAUGAUGGAAAAAUCAUUCUGACGGUACCUAAUGAAUAAGCCCCGGCUAACUAUGUGCCAGCAGCCGCGGUAAUACAUAGGGGGCAAGCGUUAUCCGGAAUUAUUGGGCGUAAAGGGUGCGUAGGCGGUUAAAUAAGUUUAUGGUCUAAGUGCAAUGCUCAACAUUGUGAUGCUAUAAAAACUGUUUAGCUAGAGUAAGAUAGAGGCAAGUGGAAUUCCAUGUGUAGUGGUAAAAUGCGUAAAUAUAUGGAGGAACACCAGUAGCGAAGGCGGCUUGCUGGGUCUUUACUGACGCUGAGGCACGAAAGCGUGGGGAGCAAACAGGAUUAGAUACCCUGGUAGUCCACGCCGUAAACGAUGAGUACUAAACGUUGGGUAAAACCAGUGUUGAAGUUAACACAUUAAGUACUCCGCCUGAGUAGUACGUACGCAAGUAUGAAACUUAAAGGAAUUGACGGGACUCCGCACAAGCGGUGGAUCAUGUUGUUUAAUUCAAAGGUACCCGAAAAACCUCACCAGGUCUUGACAUGCUUCUGCAAAGCUGUAGAAACACAGUGGAGGUUAUCAGUUGCACACGUUGUGCAUGGUUGUCGUCAGCUCGUGUCGUGAGAUGUUGGGUUAAGUCCCACACCGAGCGCAACCCUUAUUGUUAAUUACCAACAAGUAAUGGUGGGGAAUUUACCAAGACUGCCCGUGAUAAAAUUGGAAGAAGGUGGGGACAACGCCAAAUCAUCAGGCCCCUUAUGACCUGGGCUACAAACGUGAUACAAUGGCUGUUACAAAGGGUAGCUGAAGCGCAAGUUUUUGGGGAAUCUCAAAAAAACAGUCUCAGUUCUGAUGACCGUUCUUAAACGAAUUCUUAGGACGGGGUUUGUACACA
RNAcentral lists this ribosomal RNA (1116 nucleotides) under Sesame phyllody phytoplasma Me4. RNAcentral describes it as "bacterial SSU rRNA". It matches the Rfam family "Bacterial small subunit ribosomal RNA", at positions 214 to 1314 of the family's 1533-position model. The record is from RNAcentral. Lineage: Bacteria; Bacillati; Mycoplasmatota; Mollicutes; Acholeplasmatales; Acholeplasmataceae.